GGAAUAUUGGACAAUGGCCGGAAGGCUGAUCCAGCCAUGCCGCGUGCGGGAAGGCGGCCCUAUGGGUUGUAAACCGCUUUUGCGGGGGAGCAAUAAGGUGCACGCGUGCACCGAUGAGAGUACCCAGCGAAUAAGCAUCGGCUAACUCCGUGCCAGCAGCCGCGGUAAUACGGAGGAUGCAAGCGUUAUCCGGAUUUAUUGGGUUUAAAGGGUGCGUAGGCGGGCUGCUAAGCGUGAGGUGAAAUGCCACGGCUCAACCGUGGGACUGCCUCGCGAACUGGUAGUCUUGAAUGUCCGUGCCGUGGGAGGAAUGUGUGGUGUAGCGGUGAAAUGCAUAGAGAUCACACAGAACACCGAUUGCGAAGGCAUCUCACGAACGGAUGAUUGACGCUGAGGCACGAAAGCGUGGGGAUCAAACA
Molecule: ribosomal RNA, 419 nt
Filed under: uncultured bacterium
Lineage: Bacteria
Description: bacterial SSU rRNA
Rfam family: Bacterial small subunit ribosomal RNA
Source: RNAcentral